This 3944-nucleotide unclassified non-coding RNA is filed under the name Octopus sinensis (East Asian common octopus). RNAcentral's name for it is "large proline-rich protein bag6, transcript variant X5". Lineage: Eukaryota; Metazoa; Mollusca; Cephalopoda; Octopoda; Octopodidae. The record is from RNAcentral.
AAAAGCCGUCACUGCUGAUUUUAAUAUCAUUAGAAGCAUUUCCCUCUCUUUGUACAAAGCUGCUGGGCAUAAGCCAGCCGUGCGCAUGCCCAGUGAAUACUUCCUGCGGAGGUGGAGGACAGUUAGCGAAGACAACAGUUCUCAGAUAAUUGGAUAGCCUACAACAGAUAUCACCAUCCAAGAUGAUUGAUGUUUCUGUGAAGACCCUUGAUGGUCAAACUAAGAGCCAUAGUGUUGCAGAUGAUACCACUGUUCGACAAUUUAAGGAAACAAUAGCCAGUAGUAUAUCAAUUCCCGCAGACACACAGAGGCUGAUUUUCCAAGGCAGAGUCCUUCAAGAUGAAAAACUUUUAAAAGACUUCAAUGUUCAUGGCAAAGUGAUACAUGUUGUGCAAAGACCCCCACCACGUCCUAACAGCACCAGCCCUAUAGAUAAUGGUGGUAACUCAACCACAGCUUCAGCACCACCUCCUCCUCCGAGAGAUGUCAAUAGUUUUGUUGUCAGUUCUUUUACUUUACCAUCAGACAUUCUGGAUCCGAAUCAGGUUCAGAAUAUUGUUCAACAAGCUGUUCACAAUAUAGGCGAGCUCGGAAGGAAUGCCAGAGUCUCUACAAGGGCAUCGGCUGACGGUUCGGCUGUUGAUGUUCAUAUCAAUUUGGGGCAGAUUCCCGUCCAGCAGAUGAAUGAAUCUCAACAAAGAAUAAACCACAUCAGAAAGUUAUUGCACUUGGUUAACAUGGCUUUAUCUCGUCUUGAGAAUCCGUCAGCCAACAGUAACCAACAAAGCACCAAUAAUCAAAGAAAUAGCAAUGAACCAGUUCCAGGAGCUCCCAGUCAAAGUGGUACUGCUCAGCCAUCUAGCGAUGAUCAACCCAGUACUGCAAGCAAUUCUCAGGGACCAAGCCCACCACCAGUGACAGUUGUUGCUGAACUAAUGACAGAACUUCAAGAAGUCCAAAGAAGACUGCAGCCAUUCUUAACACAAUAUACAACAUUGGCACAAAAUGAUGCCUCUUAUACAAGUGAACAAACUGAAGCACGCCAAGAGAGUGAGCGUAUAUUCAACGGUGUGUCUGAGUGCCUGCAUUACAUGAGUCACAUCUAUCACAGUGUCAGUGACCUUACUGUUGACUUUAGUCAGUCUCCACCACGUCAUCUCCAUGCUCACACAGCCAUGCCUGCGUUGGCAGGUUUGAUCCCUUCAACUCUAUCAACAGGAUCCAUACCAGUGAAUGGCCAGUACAGGAUUCCAGGAGGAAACAUCAUACCAAACUUUUCAGCGAUCAACCCUGGUCUUCGUUCUGCCUCAGCUGCAAGUGGCACAGCUGGGAGUCACAGUACCAGUGGUGGUAGCCACACUAGUAGCAGUGGCCUCAGCAGUAAUGUAACACAAUCAACUGCAGUACCAGCUACCUCAACAACAUCAUCCUCUAGAACUUUCACAUCUGCCAGCACUAACCCAGUACCUCUCAUCACACUACCAUCUACAGUAUUUUCUACUAGUUCUUCUCAGACAACAACUGCCCAGACUAGCAGCAAUCCUCUCUCUCUUGGACAAUCAUUUUCUACUUCAAGUUCUAGUCCCUACCUGUUUGUAGAAGUUGGUCCUGAUUCUCUGACUGUCAACAGUAUAUCUGCUCAUGUGGUCAGUUCAGAUAUGACUUCAACAUCAACCUCUAACACAUCAUCAAUGCAGAGAACUUUCCAGGUUAACAUUGGACCCAACCUUUCAACAUCUACUACAACUGCUAGUUCCAUGUCUAAUAAUACUACUACUACUGCUGGUAGCAGUAGUAGUACUAAUACCAGCAGUAGCAACUGUCCACCUGGUGGCAACACUGUUACUAGCAGCAUCAAUCUUAGUGGAACACCUGGAAUAGUUAGCACUGGUGGUACAACAUCCACAACCUCCACCUCUUCCUCCUCUUCUAGUAGUAGCAGCAGCAGCAGCAGUAGUAGUAGUAGCAGCAACAUUGGUGCUGGUGUUGGUCGGCCCACUGUGGUCUUACCUGGAAGCGUACCCAACAUUCAAGGCCUCCUAGGUGGACAGCAUCCUGCCCGUACCAUCGAUCCGUACCUUCCCUGCGUAUCCAGACAUUUCCUCUCCUCUCAGGCUCAGAAUGAUGCAACUACUGCUAACGUUGUCGCUGCAGCUGCAGCAAACGUUGCUGCUGCAGCAUCUCAACAGUCAUCGAACCAGGGAACCGACACAGCUCUUGGUGAUGUGGUGGCUGCUGUUAUGGCUGGUCUACUUGGAACAAAUGACUCUUCAAGUGCUAACAACACUAACACAUCAAGUGAGAAUACACAAACACAAGGUGGAAAUGCUGCUAACCAGCGUACUGUCGCAGCACCAGUAUCAAUUUCCCAAAUCUCCCAGGCCAUUGGAGGUAUGGCAAGUCCAGUGUUUGCCAUGGUCUCUCGUAACCUGGCUCGCUCCCAACCAACCAGUACUACAACCACUACCACCAUCAGUAGCACUGAAGCUCCUUUGGAACCAACAACUUUUGUACAGGCUCUAAGGAACUUCUUUCAAGGAUCAGCUAGAAGUACUGCAUCUGGUGGCUUACAGACUUCAACAGUAAACAACAGCGGCAACGCUGCUAGUGCAACUAACACUACAACAACUACAAGUACAAGAAGUACUGCAACUGCCAGUACCAGUUCUAAUAAUGCUACUUCAACCCCGAGCCAGUCCAGUUCAACAUCAUCUGGGACGACAAGCCAGGCUACAAGUGGCACUCAAGUGAUACCAGAUGAAGCUAUCAUUCAGUUAAUCCAGGGCAUUAUCAAUAACUUGAUGCAAGCUGCAACCGGCCAGCAAAAUGUGGGCACAAUUUGGGAUUUCUUUAGUACCAUUGGCGAAGAAAUGGAUAUAGAGCACUUUGAAGGACUCACCAACGACAUCUUUCAAUGUAUAUCACGUCACUUGACUAUUUCUGAUCUUAUGACCGUUUUGCUGGGUAACUCUGAGCCUCUCAAUAGAUUGCGAACACCUCUUAAAGAACUCUUUCUUCAUCAAAUUCUUAAUGAUGCUGAACCUACAGAAGCCAAUAUUCAGAAUGCUGUAUUACAAUUAUUAACUGAAAUGAGAGCAGAAAUUAAAGCUAUAGUUAGUAUAUCUGAAGUUCAACCUAACAUUGAUGCUGAGACUACACUGGACAACUUCCUCAAACACCAAUAUACUAAAAUAAUAAAACUGACUAUAGAAUCUGAAGAUAACAAUGAGUUUGGUCUAAGUUUAUACAACUGGUUCAAAACUUUCCUCUCUGAGCUUAUUGUUCUUGGUCGCUUUUGUCUUGUCGAUGGUCACCCAGCUUUCCAGCGAGUGGUGCAUGAUCGAUUGCAACAUUUGACCAAUGGUAUCAAUGUAAUGAUGCAGCAGUCCCUAAUUACCAUGGCAACACUACAGCUAAACGGUUUCCACCCUCAGCAGACUGAGAGCGACAUUCAACACUACAUUGCUUGGAAAGAUUCUGCUUCUGCAGCGAAUAAGGAAUCUGCGAAACCAACUCCACCAGAGGUGACGGCAGCGACGGCCGUUCCUGAGGUUGUUGAAAGUGAAGCAGCAUCCCCUAUGGAAGUAGAUUCAGAAACUUCAGCAACAUCUCAAGAAUGGGUUCCUAUAAUCAGGCAAGACAUCCAACAUCAAAGACGCCAGAAUCCUCAGACACCAUUCAGCGAUGCAUAUUUAAGUGGAAUGCCAGCUAAGCGCAGAAAGAAUGACAUUGUAGGGUAGGUGUGAGAGGUUGCAUCUGGCUGCUUUGAACAUAAGACUGGAAAGAAUAAUAUUUAGGCCAGAUGAAUCCUGGUAAAGCAACCAACUUAAGUGAGGUGUCAGAAUUUGUACCCGAUUCACUGAAGAAAGCUGUAGCCUCAGCUGGAGUUGAACCACUAAGCAGUUUAGAAAAUUUAUCAACUGAGGCAGCUCGUGACAGCAUAU